This 343-nucleotide ribosomal RNA is filed under the name uncultured Pseudomonadota bacterium. Its description in RNAcentral is "bacterial SSU rRNA". It matches the Rfam family "Bacterial small subunit ribosomal RNA", at positions 29 to 351 of the family's 1533-position model. Lineage: Bacteria; Pseudomonadati; Pseudomonadota. The record is from RNAcentral.
AAUGAACGCUGGCGGCGUGCAUAACACAUGCAAGUCGAACGAGAAACUCCGGGCUUGCUCGGGGAAGUAAAGUGGCGCACGGGUGAGUAACGCGUGGGUAACCUACCCUUGAAUCUGGAAUAACUCGCCGAAAGGCGGACUAAUACCGGAUAUUGUUCCGGAGGCGCAUGUCUUCGGUAUGAAAGGUGACCUCUUCAUGAAAGUUGCCGUUUGGGGACGGGCUCGCGUACCAUUAGCUAGUUGGUAGGGUAAUGGCCUACCAAGGCGACGAUGGUUAGCUGGUCUGAGAGGAUGAUCAGCCACACUGGAACUGGAACACGGUCCAGACUCCUACGGGAGGCAG